AAGGUAAAAUACAGCCAAAAGCGACUGGGGGCCAGGAGGUUCCCGCUGCCAGCCAACAAGCGGCGACCAGGCAGCGCGUGGCGCAGGCAAAGCUGCGAGCCCAGAGGCUCUCUCCAAGGUAUCCGGGGCCCGUUUAACGGCAUCCAGCACGGCAACGCAGCCCUCCUCCGCCCCAGGCCCGGCGCGGAGCGCUCCGGACGGCACUUCUUCCCCGCCAGGCGCGGCAAGCCCCGCCACCGCUCCCGGGGCCGAGGCCAGAGGGUCCCGCUGCGGCCGGCCCGCGGCAGCGCUGCCGCCGAGACAACGCGGGCAGGGCGGACACGUCCCGCGGCCUGCCCGCCCGCCCGAGCGGCGCCUGAGCAGGGCACCCGCCUCCCCACAAGCCUCCGCGCCCCCCUCCCCGCCGGCGCUAACGCGGCUCGCGGUCCCGGCACCGCCGCGCCGGCACCGCCUGCCGCCGCCCCGCCGAGCACUCACGUCUCCUGGCGGCUGCGGCCGGGGGAGGUUUCGCGGCUGCCCGGGAGCGGGAAGGACGGGCCGGCUCCGGCCGCUGCUGGCUGCGCCGCCGCCGGCUCUGCGGACACCGAACGCCUCAGCCUCUCCGCUCCAACGGUCCCCGGCCGCCUCGCGGCGCCUGGCCAAUCCGAGAACGCCUCCGCAGGGGCGCGCGCACCCCCACCAAUCCGAGCCCGCGCCCGCCCGGCCCCCUCCGCGGCCGUUAGCCAAUCCACAGGCAAGCUUGCCAGCCCCGCCCUCCUCCCUCCCGCACGGCGCUACCUGGGAGCCAAUCACGCGGCGGACCCUUCCUUCGCGGCGGACGUGCGUGCGCUUACCCGCGCGCUUCCCACCCCCCCUUUCCCUUCAGCCAAUCAGCAGCCGCGGCCGCACGCCUGCGGAGCGCGCUCUCCUUGCGCCAACGGGCCUCUUGGAGCGCUCGUGGUCUCCAGCCAAUCAGCAGCCCGCGCCGCCUCGCGCGCUCGCGUUCUGGGGCGCAACGGCCUCGGCUGUGCGCCAGCGCGCGCCCCCUCAGCGCGGGGGGCGGGCGGGGGGUGCGCGCGCCGGCACCGCGCAGGCGGCCCCGCCCUGCCCCCGGGCUCCCCUGACAGGACCCGCGUCCGCCGCCGCGGGGGUUGGGGGGGGCUGGUGCCUCUAGGGCUGCGUGGGGCGGGGAGCAGUGUGCGGGAUCCUCCGCUCUCUGCUAGAGAGGUGUCGCUCUCCCUUGGCUUGUCUUGCUGUCAACGUACUUUCAGCGGAGGGGACCGGGGCGGCGAGGGCAGCUUUGUCAGGGAAACGUGCGCUUCAAGGAUGUGCCGCCCGUUGGCCGGGAGAGUCUUCUGA
This 1338-nucleotide long non-coding RNA is filed under the name Apteryx haastii (Great spotted kiwi). Its description in RNAcentral is "lncRNA (ENSAHAG00000005376.1)". The record is from RNAcentral. Lineage: Eukaryota; Metazoa; Chordata; Aves; Apterygiformes; Apterygidae.